CCCUUUGGUCCCACCCUGAACAUGCCUGAUCUUGUCUGAUCUCGGAAGCUAAGCAGGGUCGGGCCUGGUUAGUACUUGGAUGGGAGACCGCUUGGGAAUACCGGGUGCUGUAGGCU
Molecule: ribosomal RNA, 116 nt
Organism: Anolis carolinensis (green anole)
Lineage: Eukaryota; Metazoa; Chordata; Lepidosauria; Squamata; Anolidae
Source: Ensembl